This 499-nucleotide ribosomal RNA is filed under the name uncultured bacterium. RNAcentral describes it as "bacterial SSU rRNA". It matches the Rfam family "Bacterial small subunit ribosomal RNA", at positions 29 to 524 of the family's 1533-position model. The record is from RNAcentral.
AUUGAACGCUGGCGGCGUGCCUAACACAUGCAAGUCGAGCGGUAACAGGUGUAGCAAUACAUGCUGACGAGCGGCGGACGGGUGAGUAACGCUUGGGAAUCUGCCUGUUAGUGGGGGACAACCCGGGGAAACUCGGGCUAAUACCGCAUACGCACUACGGUGGAAAGCCGGGGACCGCAAGGCCUGGCGCUAACAGAUGAGCCCAAGUCGGAUUAGCUAGUUGGUAGGUAACGGCCACCAAGGCGACGAUCCGUAACUGGUCUGAGAGGACGACCAGUCACACCGGAACUGAGACACGGUCCGGACUCCUACGGGAGGCAGCAGUGGGGAAUAUUGGACAAUGGCGAAAGCCUGAUCCAGCGACGCCGCGUGGGUGAAGAAGGCCUGCGGGUUGUAAAGCCCUUUCGGUGGGGAAGAAAAGCCUCGAGUUAAUACCUCGGGUCUUGACGUAACCCAUAGAAGAAGCACCGGCUAACUCUGUGCCAGCCGCCGCAGUAAU